UCAAUAAAGACAGGAUUAAAGACCCUACAAGUGGAGCUUCAAGCAACCAAACGAACAACUUCAAUGCAAACCCUGUUAAAUGAGGAGCUGCAACCAAUAAACCAAAUCAGAAGAAGUAACCAUCUCCAUCAGGACAACCACAUUCUAAAAUCUAGAAGGAAAACGGAUA
Telopea speciosissima is the source of this 169-nucleotide long non-coding RNA. RefSeq lists it as uncharacterized. The transcript is spliced from 2 exons. The record is from RefSeq and is a predicted model, not a curated record. Lineage: Eukaryota; Viridiplantae; Streptophyta; Magnoliopsida; Proteales; Proteaceae.